GACGAACGCUGGCGGCGUGCUUAACACAUGCAAGUCGAGCGGUAAGGCCCUUUCGGGGGUACACGAGCGGCGAACGGGUGAGUAACACGUGGGUGACCUGCCCUCAGCUCUGGGAUAAGCCUGGGAAACCGGGUCUAAUACCGGAUAUGACUCCAUGACGCAUGUUGUGGGGUGGAAAGCCUUGUGCGGCUGAGGAUGGGCCCGCGGCCUAUCAGCUUGUUGGUGGGGUGAUGGCCUACCAAGGCGACGACGGGUAGCCGGCCUGAGAGGACGACCGGCCACACUGGGACUGAGACACGGCCCAGACUCCUACGGGAGGCAGCAGUGGGGAAUCUUGCGCAAUGGGCGAAAGCCUGACGCAGCGACGCCGCGUGAGGGAUGACGGCCU
RNAcentral lists this ribosomal RNA (388 nucleotides) under uncultured bacterium. RNAcentral describes it as "bacterial SSU rRNA". It matches the Rfam family "Bacterial small subunit ribosomal RNA", at positions 28 to 417 of the family's 1533-position model. The record is from RNAcentral.